UACGUAGGGGGCAAGCGUUAUCCGGAUUUACUGGGUGUAAAGGGAGCGUAGACGGCAGCGCAAGUCUGGAGUGAAAUGCCGGGGCUCAACCCCGGAACUGCUUUGGAAACUGUGCAGCUAGAGUGCGGGAGAGGUAAGCGGAAUUCCUAGUGUAGCGGUGAAAUGCGUAGAUAUUAGGAGGAACACCAGUGGCGAAGGCGGCUUACUGGACUGUAACUGACGUUGAGGCUCGAAAGCGUGGGGAGCAAACAGG
RNAcentral lists this ribosomal RNA (253 nucleotides) under uncultured bacterium. Its description in RNAcentral is "partial 16S ribosomal RNA". It matches the Rfam family "Bacterial small subunit ribosomal RNA", at positions 524 to 776 of the family's 1533-position model. The record is from RNAcentral.